UCCGUUCAAUAUACAUCGUUCUCUCGGCAAACAAAAUUUCUCACAAAUAUCCAAAAAAUCCUUCAAUAAAACUUCCAACACGAUCGAUAACAAGUAACGGAGAAGAAUCGGAGGAUCAUACCGCUCUGAUACCAUGAAAAGAAUGGACCUUGGGCCUAACUCAACCCCAAAAGCUAGCUUAUGAGGUGAGGAUUGCCCAAGCUAUAUAAGGAGACCAAGGACNNNNNNNNNNNNCCCCAAAAGCUAGCUUAUGAGGUGAGGAUUGCCCAAGCCAUAUAAGGAGACCAAGGACCUCAAAUCCCUCCGAUGUGGGACAACUCAACACCCUCUCUCACGCCCAAAUAUCUGGAGCGUGGACAACAUAAAUGGGAGCCCAACAUCGGUAACAAUAAUUGGGAUGAAAACGUACAGAUUGAAGGCAAAAUAAUGAAGGACACAGUGAGAGAAAGAGAGAGAAGUUGGUAGAACUCUCUGGAACAACCGAGAGUCAAAAUGAAAUACUUACCCCAAAAUAUCUGUCUCUAUACAGAUAUACACAAAUAAUAUAGCUUGGGUCGGGUCAGACGGCCCAAGUGUAAAAUGUAAUAAGAAUUGGGCUCAGAAUACACUAAUGCCCAAAUAGCUAGCUAAGCCUACGAUAUACAAAAUAUACAAUGAAUAUACAACAAAUAUACAACCCAAUAUCAACCAAUAUUAAUGUCUAUGUUUAGGUUUGGAGGCUAAAUAAUCUUGUAGCUCAAUACUUAUAUAUAUCAUGAAUUUGUUCGCAUAUAAUAGAAUUUAACGGGAUAUUUUUUGAAAUUCAAAAAAAAUGUAAAAGCAAAUGAAAUUACUACCAUGAAAAAUAGCGUGACACCUGCCAUGAAUUUGGGAAGACCGAAGAGAACCAAAAAUCAAGGAUAAAAAGAAGAACAGAUAAGAUAUGGACAAAAACUGAAAUAUGAUCAAACGUGAAGUUAUAAGUUAAACCACCGAAGACGAAGAAAAGCAAAAAUUAUGAGAGACCCAGCUAGAAGAUCAGUGUAAAUGAAGAGGUGUAGCAGUUUGAAGUGUGAAGAUGACGAAAAU
This 1068-nucleotide long non-coding RNA is filed under the name Nicotiana benthamiana. Its description in RNAcentral is "long non-coding RNA (NBEN_LNC034011)". Lineage: Eukaryota; Viridiplantae; Streptophyta; Magnoliopsida; Solanales; Solanaceae. The record is from RNAcentral.